UACGAAGGGGGCUAGCGUUGCUCGGAAUGACUGGGCGUAAAGGGCGCGUAGGCGGUUGUGUCAGUCAGAAGUGAAAUUUCUGGGCUCAACCUUGGGGCUGCGUUUGAUACGUCGUGGCUGGAGUGCGGAAGAGGGUCGUGUAAUUGCCAGUGUAGAGGUGAAAUUAGUAGAUAUUGGGAAGAACACCGGUGGCGAAGGCGGCGCCCUGGUCCGUGACUGACGCUGAGUCGCGAAAGCGUGGGGAUCAACCAGG
This 253-nucleotide ribosomal RNA is filed under the name uncultured bacterium. RNAcentral's name for it is "partial 16S ribosomal RNA". It matches the Rfam family "Bacterial small subunit ribosomal RNA", at positions 524 to 776 of the family's 1533-position model. The record is from RNAcentral.